Molecule: unclassified non-coding RNA, 252 nt
Filed under: uncultured fungus
Lineage: Eukaryota; Fungi
Description: partial contains 18S rRNA, ITS1, 5.8S rRNA, ITS2 and 28S rRNA
Source: RNAcentral
AAGGAUCAUUAGCAAGUGAGUGGGGUGGUGUGGGGUGUGGGUGGGUGAGGUGUGCUUCUUGCAUGCUGCGCCUACCCCACGCCCGCUGCCAACAGACCCGACGAGCCGGGCAGUGCGUGUGUGGUGUGUGGGUCUUCUCGCACGGCACGGCACGUACAGCAUGAUACCGGCUCGCUAUGGACGCUUCAUGUUUGACAGUAUACAAGACAUUACAAGUACUAUGUACUCUUAACAACGGAUCUCUAGGCUCCU